AGUGAACGCUGGCGGUAGGCCUAACACAUGCAAGUCGAACGGCAGCACAGGAGAGCUUGCUCUCUGGGUGGCGAGUGGCGGACGGGUGAGGAAUACAUCGGAAUCUACUCUGUCGUGGGGGAUAACGUAGGGAAACUUACGCUAAUACCGCAUACGACCUACGGGUGAAAGCAGGGGAUCUUCGGACCUUGCGCGAUUGAAUGAGCCGAUGUCGGAUUAGCUAGUUGGCGGGGUAAAGGCCCACCAAGGCGAUGAUCCGUAGCUGGUCUGAGAGGAUGAUCAGCCACACUGGAACUGAGACACGGUCCAGACUCCUACGGGAGGCAGCGGUGGGGAAUAUUGGACAAUGGGCGCAAGCCUGAUCCAGCCAUACCGCGUGGGUGAAGAAGGCCUUCGGGUUGUAAAGCCCUUUUGUUGGGAAAGAAAUCCAGCUGGCUAAUACCCGGUUGGGAUGACGGUACCCAAAGAAUAAGCACCGGCUAACUUCGUGCCAGCAGCCGCCGUAA
This 506-nucleotide ribosomal RNA is filed under the name uncultured bacterium. RNAcentral describes it as "partial 16S ribosomal RNA". It matches the Rfam family "Bacterial small subunit ribosomal RNA", at positions 29 to 523 of the family's 1533-position model. The record is from RNAcentral.